AACCCAAUCAACCUCCUUACUCUCUUCGGAAUCAUUGGGUUGUUUGCACACAUUAAAAAUAUUUAGUUCUAAGGUCAUGUUACCAAAAGAAAGCUUCAUGACGCUAUUCCUACAAUUAAUUAAUGCAUUAGAAGUCGCAAGGAAUGGACGUCCUAAAAUGACCGGAAUCUGAGAUUGUGAGUUCGAAGCCGGAUGUGUGUCCAAUACGAUAAAAUCAACAGGAAAGUAGAACUUGUCU
This 238-nucleotide long non-coding RNA is filed under the name Phoenix dactylifera (date palm). RNAcentral's name for it is "long non-coding RNA (PDAC_LNC012259)". Lineage: Eukaryota; Viridiplantae; Streptophyta; Magnoliopsida; Arecales; Arecaceae. The record is from RNAcentral.